AGUUUGAUCAUGGCUCAGAACGAACGCUGGCGGCAGGCCUAACACAUGCAAGUCGAGCGCCCCGCAAGGGGAGCGGCGGACGGGUGAGUAACGCGUGGGAACGUACCCUUUGCUACGGAAUAGCCUCGGGAAACUGGGAGUAAUACCGUAUGUGCCCUUCGGGGGAAAGAUUUAUCGGCAAAGGAUCGGCCCGCGUUGGAUUAGGUAGUUGGUGGGGUAAUGGCCUACCAAGCCGACGAUCCAUAGCUGGUUUGAGAGGAUGAUCAGCCACACUGGGACUGAGACACGGCCCAGACUCCUACGGGAGGCAGCAGUGGGGAAUCUUAGACAAUGGGCGCAAGCCUGAUCUAGCCAUGCCGCGUGAGCGAUGAAGGCCUUAGGGUUGUAAAGCUCUUUCAGUGGGGAAGAUAAUGACUGUACCCACAGAAGAAGCCCCGGCUAACUCCGUG
RNAcentral lists this ribosomal RNA (449 nucleotides) under uncultured bacterium. RNAcentral describes it as "bacterial SSU rRNA". It matches the Rfam family "Bacterial small subunit ribosomal RNA", at positions 10 to 507 of the family's 1533-position model. The record is from RNAcentral.